CCUACGGGAGGCAGCAGUGGGGAAUUUUGGACAAUGGGCGAAAGCCUGAUCCAGCCAUACCGCGUGCGGGAAGAAGGCCUUCGGGUUGUAAACCGCUUUUGUCAGGGAAGAAAUGCUUCGGGCUAAUACCCUGGGGUGAUGACGGUACCUGAAGAAUAAGCACCGGCUAACUACGUGCCAGCAGCCGCGGUAAUACGUAGGGUGCAAGCGUUAAUCGGAAUUACUGGGCGUAAAGCGUGCGCAGGCGGUUCUAUAAGACAGAUGUGAAAUCCCCGGGCUCAACCUGGGAACUGCAUUUGUGACUGUAGAGCUAGAGUACGGUAGAGGGGGAUGGAAUUCCGCGUGUAGCAGUGAAAUGCGUAGAUAUGCGGAGGAACACCGAUGGCGAAGGCAAUCCCCUGGACCUGUACUGACGCUCAUGCACGAAAGCGUGGGGAGCAAACAGGAUUAGAUACCCUGGUAGUCCACGCCCUAAACGAUGUCAACUGGUUGUUGGGAGGGUUUCUUCUCAGUAACCGAAGCUAACGCGUGAAGUUGACCGCCUUGGGGAAUCGGCCGCAAGGUUGAAACCUNAAUGAAUUGACGNUGAGAGNGCGAGACGACGACGAGGGAGGAGG
Molecule: ribosomal RNA, 617 nt
Filed under: uncultured bacterium
Lineage: Bacteria
Description: bacterial SSU rRNA
Rfam family: Bacterial small subunit ribosomal RNA
Source: RNAcentral